AAUGUCGCAGGAGGAGGCCAGCGUGACCGCGUCACUCAGCCCGCAGCUGCUGAACAGGCAGCAUCCUGGCCACCCUCUGUCGCAGAGGAGCCCGGGCCUGAGGUCCCUGCUCCAAGGAGCUGCCACCAACAGCCACCAAGUCCUUGUCAGCAGACUUGGGCCCAGCUCUUAGAUGUUCAAGCGACGUAGAAGGACAACGGGUGACAGUUUCAAACUGCAACCCCGAGUGUGUGAUUAUAACCCAGCUGAACCUUUAUGGAUUUCUCACUGUGUGCCCCACAUUGAGCAAAGCUCUUUUUGUGCCUCAUCUUAUGUACUUCUCUUGGCUCCUUCCGAGGCAGGGACUAAUACCACCCUCGGUACAAACCAGUGGGGAGCAACUUUCUGUGUCUGUGUGUUUGGGGAGGUCAUCCAGGCCCAGCUGAAACAUUUAAAGGACGGGUUUUUGUUGUUGUUGUUGGUUGGUUGGUUUUCAACUUUCAGGGUGAAUAUGUUUUUAACGACUUCUUUUUAGGGGGGAUAAAAGUGAUACUCUUACAGACACCGGCUUUAUGAAUAGAAGAAUACUAAUUUUAAAAACACUCUGCUUCUUAGACAAACAUCUAGGCAUUUCUGAGAAGUAGUGAAAUGAAAGCAGACUCCAACAUCUUUUGUCCUGGCAUCAGACUCUCGCUACUCUGCAGAGCUCAGAGGGCUUCUGACGGGCCCAGGACACUGCAGACGUGACAUUGCAUAAUUCAAGGCUCAGCGUCAGUGACGGUCCCCUACAUGUGAGCUCUUUUCCAUUCUAGAGCAAACUGGUUUAGAAGAGAUUUGUGGCUCUAUUAAAGUCUAGUGAAGGGAACGCUACCAACUGCAUCAGACUGGGGGCAGGAAGUUUCUCUAUUGCUGAAAUUCUAGUCAUUUCCAGACUCCUACUCAUGUUUUGGCAACUCCGAUUAGAGCAUCAGGGUUCAGCCUUUAAACUGUGACGCUGAUGGUCUUGAAUACUUGGAAAUGAACUAUGAGAUAUCUAAACAACUCAUCAAGUAUUUGAUGUACAGCUAUGUGCACGCCAUGAAUCCAGAUUCGGUGGUGUUCAAAAAACCGUCUAGUGUGGCCUCUGUCUUCAUUCCGCUCACACACGAUUCUGGGAGAUAAGACAAAUUUAGCGAAAGACAGCUGGAGAACACGUUCAAGUACUUGACCGUGCAGGGUACCGGCUGUAUGUGAACGGUAACUGUAGACCGCAUGGAGGAGAGGAGGGCAACAGACGGCGAGGGAGACGGACAAGCUCUGGAGGCAGAGAAAAGGGAGGGCACACGCCUCCAGGGUUUUCUGGAGAGCUUGAGCCGACUGUGUGUUGGAAAAAUCAGGACAAAAUGGCUUUGAUUCCACUCAAGUACGAUGUCAGCAAAGCCAGCAAUGAGAAUAAUUUCACAGCAACAGAGUUGGCUAUCUGAAUUUCACUCACGUAUCGACAGCAGAAACAGGAACUCGGAAGCCCUCGUCCCCUUGACAGAUACUGCGAGAUAUUCAGGGGAGAGCCUGCCGUCCGUGACACAUGGGCAAUCCCAGGGUCUGGAUUGGUCCUGAGAAACUCACGAGCUUCCUGGCCCUGAGUCAUGGUGUUCCAUAGCCAAAGAGGAAAGCGAAUUACUUAAGAGAAGCCUGGGCGCCGACCUUGAGAAUAAGUCACCAAGCAGGAAUUCUUUGUGGCUAUCUAGUUAUUGGCACCAAUAAAAACGUCAACCAUAAAUAACGAACGUGUGACUCUAAAAAUCCCUCUCAAAUCAGCAUGGUGGCAACGAAGAGACAAAAGAGUCAGCACACAGUGGCCAUAACUUCACCUCCUUUUCUGUCUGGCCAUUCAGGAAAAUUCCCAGAAAUACAAAUGGGGCCUGCUUCCGGAGUGCCUGCAGUGAUCCAGUGACUCAGCGACAGGCUCUUGGAACUCGGUAAUCUCUUCAAACCAGAGACUUGAGAAUCAGAAGCGUCUCUGAGGGCCAUGAGGUCGGCAGGCCCGGGGAGAGCACGGCAGGAGAAAGCGUCUGACGUGGGUUCGAGUCCCAGGCCCUUACCCUCUGCUGGCCCCAGAGUGCAUCCCUGACAUUACUUGGGCGAUGUACCGUGCUCCCUCAGGCUUCAUCUCUUCAUCUUCAAAAUGUGGAUGGCAAUCACAGAUCCUACACGUCAUCGGGUUACGGAAAGAAUCAAAGCCCAAAAUUCAGGCAUUCUUUUCGAAAUAAGGCCUUAUUCUAUGUGCUAGGUUCUUACCUACACACUGGGACUCACACGGAUGGGACGAGCCAAGUUCCCCACGCGAGAGCACUCACACAGAGGCCGGCACGCGGUAAGUGAUCACUUCUGUCCUUCCUUGUGCUUCUCUCACCUAGCACACACAUGCCACUGCAUCACCAUGGGGCCCUCCCGGAUGCCUGCCUUGGCUUCCCCAACUGUACUCCAUACCUUCCACCCGCUGGCCCGUCGCUGCCCUCUGGGGCCAACUGGCAGGCGUCUCUGCCCUCUGACCGGCUCGCCAGCAUGCAAAGACGUGUGAGUGUUUGGGGACAUCAUUCAGCACGUUCCACAAGCUAGGUCGUGCCAGGAGUGCUUCUCAGGUGUUCACGUGUUUCACUCCCAGAACCACCCACUGAGUACAAUUAACUACCGCUCCAUUUACGGUUUAAGGAAACUGACACACAGAGCAGUUAAGUAAUCUGCCUGAGACCACUCAGCUUCUGUGUCUCCUGAGUCCUGACUCCUGGCCUCCUCUCUUUCCAGUUGGCUCUGGAAGACAUUUCUAAAUCCUGUAACCUAUUCCUCCUGAAAUCUCGCCACGUCUGAUGGUUAAUAGAGUCAAAUGCAAACACCCAGGUCUCUACUGCCUCUAAACCACAAAGUGGGUGUGCCAGCUAGUGGUGGUGGUUGGGGGCACAGCGUGUUUAACUCUACAAGGGGAAACAGAGCUUACGAGUCUGUAGAGGUGCUUGGGAAAACCCACCCCAGUAUGUAGCCUUUGCCUACAACAUAAGUCAAACUGCAGGAGCUCGAGGUGUUUAAAUGGCUGCAUUAGCUUUUUUCCUCCUGAAUUCAUCCAGCACUUAGUUAUAUGCCCAGGACACACAGACCCACUGCCUUGACUGGUCAUACUGGAGCACUUAUCUUGACCCUCUAUCCGGCUGUAAAUUUCUUCAAGUUGGGACCUGGAUCUUGGUGUCCAUUCUGCUUAGCACAAGGACUCCUGCCCAGUAGAUCGCUGAUAAAUGUCAGCUGGAGGAACCAGAAAGAGAAAGAACAAAUGAGCGAGAAUCUGGUGCGGGGCCAGAUUCCACCGCCACCAGGGCAGGGGCUCCAGUCCAUCCAGGAGGACCACAGAAAGCAGGAAGCCAAGCAUACGGACCACAGGGCUCUUCAAAGGGCCUGGAGGAGGUUCCUUCUUGCAGCAUCAUCGCAGAAUGUGUAAACAGGAAUUCAAGGACUCAAGAGACCUAACAGGACCCUCACGAGCUGACACUCGCUGUAAGUGAAGGGGCCCACCUUUACUUAAAUAAACUGACAUUUUGGAGAAAAGACUGGCAGACAAACAGCCCUAAGAUAAACCAUUGGGGACCAGCCAGGCUGAUGUUUUGUUCACAUGUUUAUUGGGAGGGCGGUGCAUAUGUGUGUGCUCCUCAAAUGUCCAACAAGGAGGAUUUUUAGCAAGGGAAUAUUCUGCCCUGGCCUUGCACUUUUGUUAUAUCCCAUGUUUUUCUCGAAUGCUUAAAAAUAAUUUUUAAUCCUGUCAAGAGUCUUACAUGUAAACAGCGUUUUUUUUUCUAGGGUGGGGGGGUUCUUUUGGUGGGGAAGGAGGGUGUGGAUGGGGAAUUGAAGAAAAAACUCCAAUGGGGACAAAAAACUUCUUAGGAUUUGGGAGUAGUUAGCUUUCUUCUUCUUUGUGUUUUUGUUUGUUUUCUUGCUAACUGAAAUUUUUAUCGAGAUCCUUGUAGAAAUACACGCAGGUGUCAAAAAGUAAGACGGAGAGGUCCCUCUGUACAACUUGCCCAGUUUCCCCAAUUGGUAACAUUUUUGCAGGCCUCUGGGAUGAUAAACAUCACCACCAGGCUGUUGACAUCGAUGCAGUCCGCCGGUCUCAUUCCGAUUUCCAAUUUCAAUUGUACUCGUUUGUGUGCGUGCAUCAUUAGCUUCUUACUUGGAGUAGCUUGUAUUAUUGACCUGCUAUCCAUCAUUCCAUGCAUAAUGGUUAAUACACAACAUCUGAUUCUUCAGCUCUUGCCAUGUGGCGGGCACAGUGCCAAGGACUUUACAUGCAUGAUGUCCAUUAAUCCCCAUAACAUUCUUGCCUCCUUCUUCUGGUAAUAGAAGCCCUGCCUCCCCCACCGGCCAAAGUAAGUGCCUUGUUUUCCUCCAGCCAAGAGGUGGGGGCGUGUCUAAAUGGACCCACCGGAUACUCUCUCCAGGAUUUGACCCUGAAAGAGGACACAAAGACUGGCCUUAUCAGACCUUGAUGAGCUCGUCCGCUGGGCCUUCCAACAAGACUUGAGCGGCCCUCAUCCCAUCUGAGACCCGGUGCUUCACACUUUCUUCUCUUAUCGACUCCACAUCCUUCCUGUAGAUCCCCUUUCCGAGGUCAGCAGGGUCUGUUCCUGCUGCCUGCGGCCAAGCCCACCCAAUGAGUGGGUGCUGGGAUCACGAGUCUCUGUUUAGAGCAGGAAGCAGGCUGAAGGAGUCGGGGGACUUGCCCAGGCCACCUGGCCGCAAAGUGGCAGAGCAGGGACACAGAGCAGCUUGCCUGUGUCCAGAGCUGAUGGCUUAGCCAUUGGGCCACUGCCUCCUGCUGCUCGUAGGGCUGGAGAGAGCUGGCAUCUGUCACCCCACGGUCCCUUCUUUGGGACACGUCAAGGUGGUGAGUUCAUCCAUGGGCUGAAAUGCGUUCUCAGGCCUCAGAGCGGACAUUCUGCCCGGGGGCUAUUUUCUCAGGACAGGACACGCCUCCCUAGGACUGAUCCCCGUUUCUGAUGCCAUUACCUAAGUACCGUGCCAAAAGGCAUCUAGCACUCGCUGAUGAAACGCAUCCCUCCGGAUCCGUCCUUCCCUGAACCUCUCUCCCAAGGGUCCGAGCACAGGAAAUAUUGUUUUACCACUCGUGACAUUUACUGCAGCAAUGUCUUGAAAAUAAAAAGGGAGAGAGACAGAGCAAGGGGGAAAUGCAUACAUUAAACUUUUGGGUCACCACCA
Molecule: long non-coding RNA, 5217 nt
Organism: Leopardus geoffroyi (Geoffroy's cat)
Lineage: Eukaryota; Metazoa; Chordata; Mammalia; Carnivora; Felidae
Exons: 2
Source: RefSeq, a predicted model, not a curated record